AACGAACGCUGGCGGCAUGCCUAACACAUGCAAGUCGAACGAGACCUUCGGGUCUAGUGUCGCACGGGUUCGUAACGCGUGGGAACCUGCCCUUAGGUUCGGAAUAACUCCCCGAAAGGGGUGCUAAUACCGGAUAAUGUCUUCGGACCAAAGAUUUAUCGCCUUUGGAUGGGCCCGCGUUGGAUUAGCUAGUUGGUAGGGUAAAAGCCUACCAAGGCGACGAUCCAUAGCUGGUCUGAGAGGAUGAUCAGCCACACUGGGACUGAGACACGGCCCAGACUCCUACGGGAGGCAGCAGUGGGGAAUAGUGGACAAUGGGCGAAAGCCUGAUCCAGCAAUGCCGCGUGAGUGAUGAAGGCAUUAGGGUUGUAAAGCUCUUUUACCCGGGAUGAUAAUGACAGUACCGGGAGAAUAAGCUCCGGCUAACUCCGUG
This 433-nucleotide ribosomal RNA is filed under the name uncultured bacterium. Its description in RNAcentral is "partial 16S ribosomal RNA". It matches the Rfam family "Bacterial small subunit ribosomal RNA", at positions 29 to 507 of the family's 1533-position model. The record is from RNAcentral.